AUCAGAUUUGGAGAGUUUAAUAUUCCUCAAGUAGCAGCUUCUCCUUCUUCUUCUCGUCAUAAAACAUAAAGCUUAUUAAGCUCACUUCCUAUGCGGCUCUUCGGGGUCACUCAGGGGAAGGAAGCCUGUGCUGCUCCCACCCAGAGGGCCUGCCUUGGAGUGCUUUGCAUGCUGCCUCACCCCGCCAGCACUGCCUCUGCACAGCCUGGACCUCCUCAGAAAGGACUAGAUGCUGGACUCUACAUCCAGGAAAGAAGCCACUAGCACCUCUGCCAUAUAACAAUUUGAGGAUUUGCAGACCUAGCUUGAAGUCAAAAGGCAAGGAAGAUUAGCCCUGAGCUAACUGCUGCCAAUCCUCCUCUUUUUGCUGAGAAAGACUGGCCCUGAGCUAACAUCUGUGCCCAUCUUCCUCUACUUUACGUGUGGGACGCCUGCCGCAGCAUGGCUUGUCAAGUGGUGCCAUGUCCCCACCCGGAACCCGAACUGGCGAACCCUGGGCUGCUGAGAAGCAGAACGUGGGCACUUAACUGCUGUGCCACGGGGCUGGCCUGAGAAUCUUUCACAUUCUGAGAGAACUACGAAAGAAGAUUGAGGACUGGAAAUAGAAUUGUUUAGAUAUAAAUCUGCACUUAUGCCCAAUUCUUUCUCUUCGAUUACUACAAAAUUUCCUGAUCAUUCACUCUUUCUGUCAUUUCCCAGCUCCAGAAAUGAAGUCUACAGCCAGCGGUUGGCCUUCUGUGCACCUGGUGAGUCUUAACUAACACCAAGGAGCCAACAAGGGGAGAGGUUGUAAUUUUGGAAGAGCAAAGGGUAGAUAAAGACUGUCUGUGGAUGCAUUUGAGUAAAGAUCUUUAGAAUGCAAGAGAGCAAGCUAUACAGGUAUCUGAGGGAAAAGCAUUUCCAGCAGAAGGAAUAGAAAAUGCAAAGUCUUUGAGGCACGUUUGAGGAAGGGAAGAAAGCUAGAAUGGCUGGAGCAGAGUAAGCUAGAGGCAGAAUAGUAGAAGUGGAUUAUAAAAUAUUGUGUAAUUUAAAAGAAUGUUUACAUUUAACAAAUUAAAAUUUAAAAUGGAAAUACAAUGUAAUAUAACCAUGCUUUCCACAAGAUAAUUACAAUAAUUAUUCAAAA
Equus asinus (donkey) is the source of this 1126-nucleotide long non-coding RNA. Lineage: Eukaryota; Metazoa; Chordata; Mammalia; Perissodactyla; Equidae. The record is from Ensembl.